Molecule: ribosomal RNA, 470 nt
Filed under: Cladosporium sp. 1 TC2-036
Lineage: Eukaryota; Fungi; Ascomycota; Dothideomycetes; Cladosporiales; Cladosporiaceae
Description: eukaryotic LSU rRNA
Rfam family: 5.8S ribosomal RNA (bases 121-274)
Source: RNAcentral
CCCUUUGUUGUCCGACUCUGUUGCCUCCGGGGCGACCCUGCCUUCGGGCGGGGGCUCCGGGUGGACACUUCAAACUCUUGCGUAACUUUGCAGUCUGAGUAAACUUAAUUAAUAAAUUAAAACUUUUAACAACGGAUCUCUUGGUUCUGGCAUCGAUGAAGAACGCAGCGAAAUGCGAUAAGUAAUGUGAAUUGCAGAAUUCAGUGAAUCAUCGAAUCUUUGAACGCACAUUGCGCCCCCUGGUAUUCCGGGGGGCAUGCCUGUUCGAGCGUCAUUUCACCACUCAAGCCUCGCUUGGUAUUGGGCAACGCGGUCCGCCGCGUGCCUCAAAUCGACCGGCUGGGUCUUCUGUCCCCUAAGCGUUGUGGAAACUAUUCGCUAAAGGGUGUUCGGGAGGCUACGCCGUAAAACAACCCCAUUUCUAAGGUUGACCUCGGAUCAGGUAGGGAUACCCGCUGAACUUAAGCAUA